RNAcentral lists this ribosomal RNA (497 nucleotides) under uncultured bacterium. Its description in RNAcentral is "partial 16S ribosomal RNA". It matches the Rfam family "Bacterial small subunit ribosomal RNA", at positions 28 to 507 of the family's 1533-position model. The record is from RNAcentral.
GACGAACGCUGGCGGCGUGCCUAAUACAUGCAAGUAGAACGCUGAAGAGAGGAACUUGCUCUUCUUGGAUGAGUUGCGAACGGGUGAGUAACGCGUAGGUAACCUGCCUGGUAGCGGGGGAUAACUAUUGGAAACGAUAGCUAAUACCGCAUAAAAUUGAUUAUUGCAUGAUAAUUAAUUGAAAGAUGCAACUGCAUCACUACCAGAUGGACCUGCGUUGUAUUAGCUAGUUGGUGAGGUAACGGCUCACCAAGGCGACGAUACAUAGCCGACCUGAGAGGGUGAUCGGCCACACUGGGACUGAGACACGGCCCAGACUCCUACGGGAGGCAGCAGUAGGGAAUCUUCGGCAAUGGGGGGAACCCUGACCGAGCAACGCCGCGGGAGGGAAGAAGGGUGUCGGAUCGUAAAGCUCUGUUGUAAGAGAAGAACGGGUGUGAGAGUGGAAGGUUCACACUGUGACGGUAUCUUACCAGAAAGGGACGGCUAACUACGUG